This 510-nucleotide ribosomal RNA is filed under the name uncultured bacterium. Its description in RNAcentral is "bacterial SSU rRNA". It matches the Rfam family "Bacterial small subunit ribosomal RNA", at positions 17 to 518 of the family's 1533-position model. The record is from RNAcentral.
AUCUGGCUCAGGAUGAACGCUAGCGGCAGGCUUAACACAUGCAAGUCGAGGGGCAGCGCGAGUAGCAAUACUUGGCGGCGACCGGCGCAAGGGUGCGUAACGCGUGAGCAACAUGCCCGUAUCAGGGGGAUAAUCCAGGGAAACUUGGUCUAAUACCCCAUAGUAAUUUUGUAAGGCAUCUUAUAAGAUUUUAAAGCUUUGGUGGAUACGGAUUGGCUCGCGUGACAUUAGCUGGAUGGUAAGGUAACGGCUUACCAUGGCUAUGAUGUCUAGGGGUUCUGAGAGGAAGGUCCCCCCACACUGGAACUGAGACACGGUCCAGACUCCUACGGGAGGCAGCAGUGAGGAAUAUUGGACAAUGGAUGGAAAUCUGAUCCAGCCAUGCCGCGUGAAGGAAAGAAGGUCCUAUGGAUUGUAAACUUCUUUUGUAUGGGAGCAAUAAGGCCUACGAGUAGGUUGAUGAGAGUACCAUACGAAUAAAGCACCGGCUAACUCCGUGCCAGCCGCAGC